UGAACGCUGGCGGCGUGCCUAAUACAUGCAAGUCGAGCGAACGGACGAGAAGCUUGCUUCUCUGAUGUUAGCGGCGGACGGGUGAGUAACACGUGGAUAACCUACCUAUAAGACUGGGAUAACUUCGGGAAACCGGAGCUAAUACCGGAUAAUAUUUUGAACCGCAUGGUUCAAAGGUAAAAGACGGUCUUGCUGUCACUUAUAGAUGGAUCCGCGCUGCAUUAGCUAGUUGGUAAGGUAACGGCUUACCAAGGCAACGAUGCAUAGCCGACCUGAGAGGGCGAUCGGCCACACUGGAACUGAGACACGGUCCAGACUCCUACGGGAGGCAGCAGUAGGGAAUCUUCCGCAAUGGGCGAAAGCCUGACGGAGCAACGCCGCGUGAGUGAUGAAGGUCUUCGGAUCGUAAAACUCUGUUAUUAGGGAAGAACAUAUGUGUAAGUAACUGUGCACAUCUUGACGGUACCUAAUCAGAAAGCCACGGCUAACUACGUG
RNAcentral lists this ribosomal RNA (495 nucleotides) under uncultured bacterium. RNAcentral describes it as "partial 16S ribosomal RNA". It matches the Rfam family "Bacterial small subunit ribosomal RNA", at positions 30 to 507 of the family's 1533-position model. The record is from RNAcentral.